RNAcentral lists this long non-coding RNA (690 nucleotides) under Ictidomys tridecemlineatus (thirteen-lined ground squirrel). RNAcentral's name for it is "lncRNA (ENSSTOG00000034395.1)". Lineage: Eukaryota; Metazoa; Chordata; Mammalia; Rodentia; Sciuridae. The record is from RNAcentral.
UGCAGCUGAAUCUUUGAGUAAUAACCCAUGGAUGGAAGAGAGCAGCUGAAUAUGGGUCACACCAAUUUAUCUUUCUCUGCUCUCUAAACGUAAUCGACCAGGUCUAAAACCAGAAAUCCAUUCACAUAGGACUCUGCAGAGGAUAAGGCACUAUUUUUAUUAACACUUAACCAAAAGACUUAAAAGCUACCUGCCUUUUGAGCAACGACAUUAAAGGUGGUCGUGAGGAGAUCUGGAGAAGUGAUCAUAAAGACCUCGGCUUUGGACUCUGCAGAUAACUGAUGCACAAGAGCAAAAGGCAAAAGGAGAAGUGGCAUCCCUGGCUAGUCACCUCAUCUGGCUACCUGGAGAUCAUCUGCCUUCUCUCCUUGGGAAUCCCUUGUGUCUCUCUGCAGAAAAAAAGACUGUCAAACUGGUAACCUGAAAAAUCUCUCCAAAUGACCCGCAGGUGUCUAGGCUAAUAAAGAAAUUCCAUGUGAAAUAUUAAUGUCCCUCAUUGAAUGUGAACUUUUGACUGUGUCAAGGCCCUCACCAGCCUUCUCCACAUGGACCCUGGUUUCUCUAUUUUAUUGUUAUUGUUAUUGACAUUAUUCAACCAGAUCUUGGACUGCCCUCUAAGAGCCCUGCUGCUUCCACCCAGAAAGUCAUUUGUGUGUAUCUUAUGGCCUUGAAGAUGAUUAAAGGAUGAUU